Molecule: ribosomal RNA, 497 nt
Filed under: uncultured bacterium
Lineage: Bacteria
Description: partial 16S ribosomal RNA
Rfam family: Bacterial small subunit ribosomal RNA
Source: RNAcentral
GAUGAACGCUGGCGGCGUGCCUAAUACAUGCAAGUCGAGCGAACAGACGAGGAGCUUGCUCCUCUGAUGUUAGCGGCGGACGGGUGAGUAACACGUGGAUAACCUACCUAUAAGACUGGGAUAACUUCGGGAAACCGGAGCUAAUACCGGAUAACAUGUUGAACCGCAUGGUUCAACAGUGAAAGACGGUCUUGCUGUCACUUAUAGAUGGAUCCGCGCCGCAUUAGCUAGUUGGUAAGGUAACGGCUUACCAAGGCAACGAUGCGUAGCCGACCUGAGAGGGUGAUCGGCCACACUGGAACUGAGACGCGGUCCAGACUCCUACGGGAGGCAGCAGUAGGGAAUCUUCCGCAAUGGGCGAAAGCCUGACGGAGCAACGCCGCGUGAGUGAAGAAGGUCUUCGGAUCGUAAAACUCUGUUAUUAGGGAAGAACAAAUGUGUAAGUAACUAUGCACGUCUUGACGGUACCUAAUCAGAAAGCCACGGCUAACUACGUG